Molecule: ribosomal RNA, 440 nt
Filed under: uncultured bacterium
Lineage: Bacteria
Description: bacterial SSU rRNA
Rfam family: Bacterial small subunit ribosomal RNA
Source: RNAcentral
AACGCGAAGAACCUUACCUAGGCUUGAAAAGCAGUCUAAACCAGUGAAAGCUGGGUACCCGCAAGGGGGGCUGUACAGGUGCUGCAUGGCUGUCGUCAGCUCGUGCCGUGAGGUGUUGGGUUAAGUCCCGCAACGAGCGCAACCCUCGUUCUAUGUUGCCAGCACGUAAUGGUGGGAACUCAUGGGAUACUGCCGGGGUCAACUCGGAGGAAGGUGGGGAUGACGUCAAAUCAUCAUGCCCCUUAUGUCUUGGGCUUCACGCAUGCUACAAUGGCCAGUACAAUGGGCUGCGAUACCGUAAGGUGGAGCGAAUCCCAAAAAGCUGGUCCCAGUUCGGAUUGAGGUCUGCAACUCGACCUCAUGAAGUCGGAGUCGCUAGUAAUCGCAGAUCAGCAACGCUGCGGUGAAUACGUUCCCGGGCCUUGUACACACCGCGCAUA